GACGAACGCUGGCGGCGUGCUUAACACAUGCAAGUCGAACGGAAAGGCCCUGCUUGCAGGGUUCUCGAGUUGCGAACGGGUGGGUAACACGUGGGUGAUCUGCCCUGCAAUUCGGGUUAAGCCUGGGCGAGUGGGUCGAGUACCGGCUAUGUACUUCCAUGUAGCGUGGGGGGUGGCAAUAUUUAUCAGUCUUGGAUGGGCGUGCGGACGAUCAGCUGGCUGGUGAGGUAGUUGGCAACCAAAGCGUUGACGGGUAGCCGGCAUGGGAGGGUGGACGGCAACAUUGGGCCUGAGAUACGGCCCAGACUCCAACGGGAGGCAGUAGUGGAAAAUAUUACAGAGUGGGCGGGAGCCUUAUGCAGCGACCCCGCGUGGGGGAUGACGGCUUUCGGGUUGUAAACCUCUUUCGACGGGGACGAAGCCUCGGUGACGGUACCUGUAUAGGAAGCACCGGCUAACUACGUG
RNAcentral lists this ribosomal RNA (465 nucleotides) under uncultured bacterium. RNAcentral describes it as "partial 16S ribosomal RNA". It matches the Rfam family "Bacterial small subunit ribosomal RNA", at positions 28 to 507 of the family's 1533-position model. The record is from RNAcentral.